AACGGACUUGGCGGCAAGAUAGCUUUUUAGAGGAACCUGCCCUGUAAACGAUGAACCACGAGGGCCCUACUUUUCUUAGUAAUAUUCAGUUUGUAUACCUCUGUUGUUAGUUAGACUCUAAAUAGUAUUUUCAUUUAUGAAAAAAUCAUUGACUUCAAGUAAAGGUGCAGCUUAUAGAAAAGAUAGAGGUGGGUUACAUUUUUAAGAUAAAGGCGUAUAAGAUAAUUUAAAUAAUCUUUGAAGGUGGAUUUAACUGUAAAACUAAGAAGGUUGAUAUAGCUCUCGCCUCC
RNAcentral lists this ribosomal RNA (290 nucleotides) under Hexelasma velutinum. Its description in RNAcentral is "partial 12S ribosomal RNA". The record is from RNAcentral. Lineage: Eukaryota; Metazoa; Arthropoda; Thecostraca; Balanomorpha; Bathylasmatidae.